AAUGAAGAACGCAGCGAAAUGCGAUAAGUAAUGUGAAUUGCAGAAUUCAGUGAAUCAUCGAAUCUUUGAACGCACAUUGCGCCCGCCAGUAUUCUGGCGGGCAUGCCUGUUCGAGCGUCAUUUCAACCCUCAAGCCCCAGCGGCUUGGUGUUGGGGACCGGCCCCGGCCGCCCCCCAAAUGCAGUGGCGACCUCGCCGCAGCCUCCCCUGCGUAGUAGCACAACUCGCACCGGAGCGCGGAGACGGUCACGCCGUAAAACGCCCAACUUCUCAGAGUUGACCUCGGAUCAGGUAGGAAUACCCGCUGAACUUAAGCAUAUCAAUAAGCGGAGGAA
RNAcentral lists this ribosomal RNA (335 nucleotides) under Ophiocordyceps sinensis. RNAcentral describes it as "eukaryotic LSU rRNA". The stretch from base 2 to 120 matches the Rfam family "5.8S ribosomal RNA", at positions 36 to 154 of the family's 154-position model. The record is from RNAcentral. Lineage: Eukaryota; Fungi; Ascomycota; Sordariomycetes; Hypocreales; Ophiocordycipitaceae.